Molecule: long non-coding RNA, 3911 nt
Filed under: Marmota monax (woodchuck)
Lineage: Eukaryota; Metazoa; Chordata; Mammalia; Rodentia; Sciuridae
Source: RNAcentral
AUUGAACCCAGUGCCUCACACAUGCCAGACAAGCGUUCUCCGCCAGCCCCAGGAUCACUGAAUAUUUAGGAAGACUUCCAAUGUGGACCCCUGAGACCAACAUAAAUUGAAAAGAGGACCUAAGCCAGGUAUGAGGGUGUGUGCCUUUUCAUUCAGCUGCUUGGGAGACUGAGGCAGGAGCCUCUCUUGAGCCUGCAACCACAUGAGGAACCUGUCAGCUGGACCCAGCUGUGGACUGGAGAGGAUGACAGUAAUGUGAGGAGACGAAAUCACAGGAAUCACUCAAAAAGUAAACAGGGAAACAUAGAAGCCUAGAAGUUCAAGACUAAGCCAGGCAUGAAGGUGCAUGCCUGUAACCCCAGUGGCAGGGGCAGGGGGCUGAGAAAGGAGGAUCACAGGUUGGAGGCCAGCCUCGGCACCUUGGCAAGGGCCUGAGCAAUUUACUGACUUCCUGUCUCAAGAUGAAGGGCUACAGAUUAGCUCAGUGGUGAAGUGCCCCUGGGUUCAGUCUCCAGUAUUGAAAAAAAAAAAAAAAGUUGAAGGCUAGUGCUUCCUCACAGUAUGGUGGGGCAGGAGUGUAGGGAAAUUGUGUUUGCCAGCUGAGGCUGUUUUAACAACAUACCAGAUGGGGUGGCUUUGACAAUGGAAAUGUAUUUCCCAGAGUUCUGGGUGCUGGCAAGUCAAAGAUCCAGGUGCUCCCGGGGAGGGUGUUCCUGCCCCCAUGGGUGCCUCCUCCAAUGGCUGAGUGCCUACACAUGAGCUUACACUGUCAUAAGAACACUAAUCAGGACUCCACCCUCUGACUUUAGUUCCCUCCUCCCAUGCCCCACCUCUAGUUACAGCCACAUUGAAGACAGGACUUUACCAUGUGGAUUUGGGACAGGGCACAAUCCUGGUCUGAGCAAAGGCUGCUGAGUGCUAGCAUUCUAAUGGGGAAAGGUGCAUGGUUCUCUAGUGACCUGCCACUGGAUUAGGCCUAUUGCAAGCCCACCUGGAUUCAAGGGGAGAAAGCACCAAAAUCACAGUAUGGGAAGAAACAAGGGAUGGGAGAUAAUUUUACCUUAUUUGUGAUUCUAGGAAUUGAACCUAGGCCUCACACAUGCUAGGCAGGUGCUCAACCACUGAGCCACACCACCACCAAGGAGGUCAUGUUGAAGUCCUCCUUAGGAAGUACAUCCUAGCAGGCUCCAUAGUGAAUUCUGUCCAGUCACAGCCGUGCAGACACCUCUGAUUUCCAGCGUUUAGAAUCAUUCUGUAGACAGAGGAUGAGUAUUUGGUUUCAGAAAAGAACACAGAGAUUUUCAACCUUAACCAUUUGAAAGGAAGGAGGAGGAGAGAGAGAUGGCAUUUGGUAGGAGGAAAAGAGACAGGGGGCACUGCACCAGUUCUAAGUUCAGCCAAGUCCAGAGCCACCAUGAGUUUUCAGCCACUGAGAACAAGAACAAUGAUGUAGGCAGCUGCCUCUGCCACUGGAGUUUCAUGGGAGGGAGACACAUUUGGACUACUCUGCAGGUAAGAACUUUUGGAACAACAGAUCUUCAUCUUGGAGCACACCUCUAUCUACAGUUGACAAGCCAUGCCUCCUCCUGCAGUGGUCAUGUGUACAGCCUCUCACUAUCUUUGGAAGUAUGACCACUGAGACCUCCCAAAAUAGGAAAGAUAUGGGGGCUCACCCUCCAAGGGCUCUUGUGUGCACUAAUGGAAAUGAUUCCACAUCUAAACUCAACCCAGAGCACCUGCAUGUCCUCAAAAUAAAGAGAGCAUUCUAUAUGUAACCACCAGAGAGAAAACCAGUACUCAGUAGCAGGACCAGAGGGAAAAUCAGCAUUCAGUAACUCACUAGAAGGAAGACCAGCAUUUGGUAACAGGAUGACAUGAGGGGAUGAUCAGCAUUUGGAACUGGGCCACCAGAGGGAAUACCAGCAUCAGGUAACAGGACCAGCAGAGGGGAAGACCAGCAUCUGGAAACAGGACCACCGGAUGGGCAAACCAGCAUUGGGUACUAAGACCAGCAGAGGGAAAGUGCAGCAUCUGGUAACAGGACUACCAGAGGGUAAGACCAGCAUCUGGUAACAGGACCACCACAGAGGAAACCAGCAUUCUGUAACAGGAAUGGGGAAGGUCAUUUGGAGAAAAAGAAAAAAGGAAACCAGCAUUUGGUAACAGCAGAGGGGAAGGUCGUCAUUGCAUAAGAGGACCACCAGAGGGGAGGAUCAUCACUGCAUAACAGGACCACCAGAGGGGAAGGUCAUCAUUGCAUAAGAGGACCACCAGGGGGGGAAGGUCAUCAUUACAUAAGAGGACCACCAGAGGGGAGGAUCAUCAUUGCAUAACAGGACCACCAGAGGGGAAGGUCAUCAUUACAUAACAGGACCACCAGAGGGGAAGGUCAUCAUUGCAUAAGAGGACCACCAGAGGGGAAGGUCAUCAUUACAUAACAGGACCACCAGAGGGGAAGGUCAUCAUUACAUAAGAGGACCACCAGAGGGGAAGGUCAUCAUUGCAUAACAGGACCACCAGAGGGGAGGAUCAUCAUUGCAUAACAGGACCACCAGAGGGGAAGGUCAUCAUUACAUAACAGGACCACCAGAGGGGAAGGUCAUCAUUACAUAAGAGGACCACCAGAGGGGAGGAUCAUCAUUGCAUAACAGGACCACCAGAGGGGAAGGUCAUCAUUGCAUAAGAGGACCACCAGGGGGGGAAGGUCAUCAUUACAUAACAGGACCACCAGAGGGGAAGGUCAUCAUUACAUAACAGGACCAUCAGAGGGGAAGGUCAUCAUUACAUAACAGGACCACCAGAGGGGAGGAUCAUCAUUGCAUUACAGGACCACCAGAGGGGAAGUCUAGACUUUGGUAACAGGAAGAGCAGAAGGGAAGUCCAGCAUUUGGUACCAGGACCAGCAGAGGAUAUGUCCAGCACUGGGUACCAGGACUAGCAGAGGAUAUGUCCAGCAUUGGGUAACAGGACCAGCAGAGGGGAAGUCCAGCAUGGGGUAACAGGGCCACCAGAGGGAAGUCCAGCAUGGGGUAACAGGGCCACCAGAGGGAAGUCCAGAAGUGGGUAACAGGACCAGUGGAGGGGAGGACCAGCACCGGGUGACAGGACCAGUAGAGGGGAGGACCAGCACUGGAUGUUAGGACCAGCGGAAGGGAGUCCAGUACCAGGUGACCGGGCCAGUGGAGGGGAGGACCGGCACCUGGUGACAGGACCACAGGAGGGGAGGACCAGCACCGGGUGACAGGACCACAGAAGGGGAGGACCAGCACCGGGUGACAGGACCACAGGAGAGGAACACAGAUUCGCAGGUUACUGGUAAUGUAAUCCAAGGGCACUGUACCACUGAGUUAUACCCCCAGGCCUUCUUUAAAUCUGUAUUUAGAAACGUCGUUACUAAGUUGCUGAGGCUGGCCUUGAACUUGGGAUCCUCCUGUCUCAGCCUCCUGGUGACCAGGAUCACAGGCCUGCACCACCAUGCCUGGCAAAACCAGGUUUUUCAAAGAGGGCAACAAGUUGAUGGCAGAAGUUCUAUCACAAACGAGAACAGAGAACCCUUGGAGUGGUGCCUUUCAUGAGUCACUGUGCAGGGCCUUUGUUCAUCUCUCACUGUGUUGCUUUUUUCUCUUAGUGAGUUAAUCACUACCUGCUUUGGUCAUUGGCCCUUUAUGAUGUUGUAGGGCAGGUCACUCAGAAAACACACAAGUCCCAGUUUUGUCCAAUUGAAAAGUCUUUAUUCUGCCCAUCCAGUACUUCUUCCUACAGCCUUGAGCCUCAACAUUUUAGGAUACAUAAAGGCAAAAACUGCAUUCAGAUUGACAUAGCAACUAGCAAGCCAGCAAACAGGAGUAUAGAAGCUGAAUAAAGACAUUAUCGAGACAAUGUAGUGUCCUUCAUCAUGCUUUCGUUCUCAU